This 468-nucleotide ribosomal RNA is filed under the name uncultured bacterium. Its description in RNAcentral is "partial 16S ribosomal RNA". It matches the Rfam family "Bacterial small subunit ribosomal RNA", at positions 28 to 507 of the family's 1533-position model. The record is from RNAcentral.
GACGAACGCUGGCGGCGUGCUUAACACAUGCAAGUCGAACGGAAAGGCCCUGCUUUUGUGGGGUGCUCGAGUGGCGAACGGGUGAGUAACACGUGAGUAACCUGCCCUUGACUUUGGGAUAACUUCAGGAAACUGGGGCUAAUACCGGAUAGGUGCUCCUGCUGCAUGGUGGGGGUUGGAAAGUUUCGGCGGUUGGGGAUGGACUCGCGGCUUAUCAGCUUGUUGGUGGGGGAGUGGCUUACCAAGGCUUUGACGGGUAGCCGGCCUGGGAGGGUGGCCGGCCACAUUGGGACUGAGAUACGGCCCAGACUCCUACGGGCGGCAGCAGUGGGGAAUAUUGCACAAUGGGCGGAAGCCUGAUGCAGCAACGCCGCGUGCGGGAUGACGGCCUUCGGGUUGUAAACCGCUUUCGCCUGUGACGAAGCGUGAGUGACGGUAAUGGGUAAAGAAGCACCGGCUAACUACGUG